This 416-nucleotide ribosomal RNA is filed under the name uncultured bacterium. RNAcentral's name for it is "bacterial SSU rRNA". It matches the Rfam family "Bacterial small subunit ribosomal RNA", at positions 358 to 773 of the family's 1533-position model. The record is from RNAcentral.
GGAAUAUUGCACAAUGGGGGAAACCCUGAUGCAGCAACGCCGCGUGAAGGAUGAAGGUCUUCGGAUUGUAAACUUCUUUUCUGUGGGAAGAAGCUUCUCUUUAGGGAGGGGUUGACGGUACCAAAGGAAUAAGCCACGGCUAACUACGUGCCCGCAGCCGCGGUAAUACGUAGGUGUCAAGCGUUAUCCGGAAUUACUGGGCGUAAAGGGCACGCAGGCGGUCUAGGAAGUCCGACGUGAAAGCUUCCGGCUUAACUGGGAGAGGUCGUUGGAAACUUUUAGACUUGAGACGGUGAGAGGGGGGCGGAAUUCCCGGUGUAGUGGUGGAAUGCGUAGAUAUCGGGAAGAACACCAGUGGCGAAAGCGGCCUCCUGGCACUGUUCUGACGCUGAGGUGCGAAAGCGUGGGGAGCGAAC